RNAcentral lists this ribosomal RNA (253 nucleotides) under uncultured bacterium. Its description in RNAcentral is "partial 16S ribosomal RNA". It matches the Rfam family "Bacterial small subunit ribosomal RNA", at positions 524 to 776 of the family's 1533-position model. The record is from RNAcentral.
UACGGAGGAUGCAAGCGUUAUCCGGAAUUAUUGGGCGUAAAGCGUGCGCAGGUGGCACUGCAAGUCUGAUGUCAAAGACCGGGGCUUAACCCUGGAAAGGCAGUGGAAACUGAAGCGCUAGAGUGUGGCAGGGGUAGAGGGAAUUCCCGGUGUAGCAGUGAAAUGCGUAGAGAUCGGGAAGAACAUCGGUGGCGAAAGCGCUCUACUGGGCCAUAACUGACACUCAUGGACGAAAGCUUGGGGAGCAAAUGGG